UCCGAGUUGACCCCGGCAGUCUUCGAUGAGUCCCCGCCAUAACGCGCUGGCAACAUCGAACGAGGGUUGCGCUCGUUGCGGGACUUAACCCAACAUCUCACGACACGAGCUGACGACAGCCAUGCACCACCUGUCACCGGCCCCGAAGGACCCCGCAUCUCUGCGAGAUUUCCGGCGAUGUCAAACCCAGGUAAGGUUCUUCGCGUCGCAUCGAAUUAAAGAACAUGCUCCGCUGCUUGUGCGGGCCCCCGUCAAUUCUUUUGAGUUUUAGCCUUGCGGCCGUACUCCCCAGGCGGGGUGCUUAAUGCGUUAGCUUCGGCACGGAACGGGUUGAAGACCGCCCCACACCUAGCACCCAACGUUUACGGCUGGGACUAC
This 378-nucleotide unclassified non-coding RNA is filed under the name uncultured Actinomycetes bacterium. RNAcentral describes it as "uncultured actinobacterium contains 16S-23S intergenic spacer region". Lineage: Bacteria; Bacillati; Actinomycetota; Actinomycetes. The record is from RNAcentral.